AGGGUUUGAUCCUGGCUCAGAUUGAACGCUGGCGGUAGGCUUAACACAUGCAAGUCGUGCGAGAAAGUACCUUCGGGUGCGAGUAGAGCGGCGGACGGGUGAGUAACGCGUAGGAAUCUACCUAGUAGAAGGGGAUAGCCCGGGGAAACUCGGAUUAAUACCGUAUACCUCCUUAGGGAGAAAGAGGGCUUAGCUUUGAUGCUCUCGCUAUUAGAUGAGCCUGCGUAAGAUUAGCUUGUUGGUGAGGUAAUGGCUCACCAAGGCGACGAUCUUUAGCUGGUCUGAGAGGACGAUCAGCCACAUUGGGACUGAGACACGGCCCAGACUCCUACGGGAGGCAGCAGUGGGGAAUAUUGGACAAUGGGCGCAAGCCUGAUCCAGCCAUACCGCGUGUGUGAAGAAGGCUUUCGGGUUGUAAAGCACUUUAAGUAAGGAGGAAAAGAUUGUAGUUAAUACCUGCAAUCCGUGACGUUACUUACAGAAUAAGGACCGGCUAAUUCCGUGCCAGCAGCCGCGGUAAUACGGAAGGUCCAAGCGUUAAUCGGAAUUACUGGGCGUAAAGCGCGCGUAGGUGGUUUUUUAAGUUGGAUGUGAAAGCCCUGGGCUCAACCUAGGAACUGCAUCCAAAACUAGAUGACUAGAGUACGAAAGAGGGAAGUAGAAUUCACAGUGUAGCGGUGGAAUGCGUAGAUAUUGUGAAGAAUACCAAUGGCGAAGGCAGCUUCCUGGUUCUGUACUGACACUGAGGUGCGAAAGCGUGGGUAGCGA
This 768-nucleotide ribosomal RNA is filed under the name uncultured bacterium. RNAcentral describes it as "bacterial SSU rRNA". It matches the Rfam family "Bacterial small subunit ribosomal RNA", at positions 8 to 771 of the family's 1533-position model. The record is from RNAcentral.